Molecule: long non-coding RNA, 1496 nt
Filed under: Ricinus communis (castor bean)
Lineage: Eukaryota; Viridiplantae; Streptophyta; Magnoliopsida; Malpighiales; Euphorbiaceae
Description: long non-coding RNA (RCOM_LNC003189)
Source: RNAcentral
GAGACAUGAAAUACCAGUGUUGCCAAACAGAGUUGGUUUGCCUAUAAGCCAACGGUUUAUUUUAGUUGAACUCUCAAAUCAUGCAGAGCUUUCUGUUACAUUAGCACUGGAUGUCACCAAUGCAUAUGUGGUCGGCUGCCGCGCUGGAAAUAGCGCCUAUUUCUUUCAUCCUGACAAUCAAGAAGAUGCAGAAGCAAUCACUCAUCUUUUCACGGAUGUUCAAAAUUCAUUUACAUUCGCCUUUGGUGGUAAUUAUGAUAGACUUGAACAACUUGGAGGUCUGAGAGAAAAUAUUGAGUUGGGAACUGGUCCAUUAGAGGACGCUAUCUCAGCGCUUUAUUAUUAUAGUACUUGUGGCACUCAGAUUCCAACUCUGGCUCGUUCCUUUAUGGUUUGCAUCCAAAUGAUUUCAGAAGCAGCAAGAUUCCAGUACAUUGAGGGAGAAAUGCGCACGAGAAUUAGGUACAACCGAAGAUCUGCACCAGAUCCUAGCGUAAUUACACUUGAGAAUAGUUGGGGGAGACUUUCCACUGCAAUUCAAGAGUCUAACCAAGGAGCCUUUGCUAGUCCAAUUCAACUGCAAAGACGUAACGGUUCCAAAUUCAAUGUGUACGAUGUGAGUAUAUUAAUCCCUAUCAUAGCUCUCAUGGUGUAUAGAUGCGCACCUCCACCGUCGUCACAGUUUUCUUUGCUUAUAAGGCCAGUGGUGCCAAAUUUUAAUGCUGAUGUUUGUAUGGAUCCUGAGCCCAUAGUGCGUAUCGUAGGUCGAAAUGGUCUAUGUGUUGAUGUUACAGGUGAAGAAUUCUUCGAUGGAAACCCAAUACAAUUGUGGCCUUGCAAAUCUAAUACAGAUUGGAAUCAGUUAUGGACUUUGAGAAAAGAUAGCACUAUUCGAUCUAAUGGCAAGUGUUUGACCAUUUCCAAGUCCAGUCCAGGACAGCAGGUGGUGAUAUAUAAUUGCAGUACCGCUACAGUUGGUGCCACUCGUUGGCAAAUAUGGGACAAUCGAACCAUCAUAAAUCCCACAUCUGGUCUAGUUUUGGCAGCCACAUCAGGGAACAGUGGUACCAAACUUACAGUGCAAACCAACAUUUAUGCCGUUAGUCAAGGUUGGCUUCCUACUAAUAAUACACAACCUUUUGUGACAACCAUUGUUGGGCUAUAUGGUAUGUGCUUGCAAGCAAAUAGUGGAAAAGUAUGGUUAGAGGACUGUACCAGUGAAAAGGCUGAACAACAAUGGGCUCUUUAUGCAGAUGGUUCAAUACGUCCUCAGCAAAACCGCGAUAAUUGCCUUACAACUGAUGCUAAUAUAAAAGGAACAGUUGUCAAGAUCCUCUCUUGUGGCCCUGCAUCCUCUGGCCAACGAUGGAUGUUCAAGAAUGAUGGAACCAUUUUAAAUUUGUAUAAUGGAUUGGUGUUAGAUGUGAGGCGAUCGGAUCCGAGCCUUAAACAAAUCAUUGUUCACCCUGUCCAUGGAAACCUAAACCAAAUAUGGU